RNAcentral lists this transfer RNA (67 nucleotides) under Olophrum piceum. RNAcentral's name for it is "tRNA-His". Lineage: Eukaryota; Metazoa; Arthropoda; Insecta; Coleoptera; Staphylinidae. The record is from RNAcentral.
AUUUAAAUAGUUUAAUUAAAAAUAUUGAUUUGUGGGAUCAAUGAUAUAGACAUUUCUAUUUUAGAUA